RNAcentral lists this ribosomal RNA (492 nucleotides) under uncultured bacterium. Its description in RNAcentral is "partial 16S ribosomal RNA". It matches the Rfam family "Bacterial small subunit ribosomal RNA", at positions 29 to 507 of the family's 1533-position model. The record is from RNAcentral.
AUUGAACGCUGGCGGUAGGCCUAACACAUGCAAGUCGAACGGCAGCACAGUAAGAGUUUGCUCUUAGGUGUGGCGUGUCGGGGGCGGGUGUGGUGUACGUGAGACUCUACGUUGUAGUGGGGGAUCAACUAGGGAAGGUUACGAUAAUACCGCAUAGUACCUACGGGUGAGAGCAGGGGAUCUUCGGACCUUGCGCUAUUGAAUGCGCCGAUGUGGGAUUAGCUAGUUGGGGGGGUCGAGGCCCACCAAGGCCACGAUCCGUAGCUGGUCUGAGAGGAAGAUCCGGCAAAAUGGAACUGAGACAAGGGCCAGACCCCCAAGGGGAGCAGCAGUGGGGAAUAAUGGACAAAGGGCGCAAGCCUGAUCCAGCCAUACCGCGUGGGUGAAGGAGGCCUUCGGGGUGGAAAGCCCUUUUGUGGGGAAAGAAAAGCAGUAGGUUAAUACCCCGCUCUCAUGACGGUACCCAAAGAAUAAGCAACGGGUAACUUCGUG